RNAcentral lists this long non-coding RNA (1606 nucleotides) under Monodelphis domestica (gray short-tailed opossum). RNAcentral describes it as "lncRNA (ENSMODG00000042895.1)". Lineage: Eukaryota; Metazoa; Chordata; Mammalia; Didelphimorphia; Didelphidae. The record is from RNAcentral.
CCUGGACUCGGCCGGGCUGGGGUAGGGCGGGUGGAGGGUCCCCGCCGGGUCCCAGGGAGGCCCCUGAGAAGGGGCCGCGAGUGUCCCCCGUGAAGAGGGCCCAGACGGGGCAGGUGGCAGGUGGGGGGCAGCCAACAGCCCGAGCAGGGAGGAGCCUCUGUGAAGGCCGUCGGCCGGAGGUCUGGGCGUCCCGGGGCCGGGGGGGGGGGGGCGGACGCUGAGGCCGUGUGCCGGCGGGGCUGCUUCGCCCUGGCGGUGCCCGGCUCUGGGGGGCUGCUGCUUAACCACGAGAGACGCCCUUUUGGGAGAGACUGAGCUGUGCUCCUGUGCAUGUAUGUGCGUGUGUGCCCGUGUGCAUGUAUGUGCACGUGUGUGUGCCCGUGUGUGUGCUGGUGUGUACGUGCCUGUGUGUGCGUGUGUGUGUGCAUGUGUGUAUGUGCCCAGAUGUGCGUGUGUGCCCGUGUGUGUAUGUGUGCAUGCGUGUGCGUGUGCGCCUGUGUGUACGUGCCCAUGGGUGUGCAUUGUGUAUGUGCCCAUGUGUGUGUGUACAUGUGCCUGUGUGCCCGUGUGUGUGUACGUGCCCGUGUGUGCAUGUGUGUAUGUUCGUGUGCGUGCAGUGUGUAUGUGCCCGCAUGUGCGUGUGUGCCCAUGUGUGUAUGUGCCCGUGUGCGUGUACAUGCCUGUGUGCGCAUGUGUGUAUGUGCGCAUGUGUGUAUGUGCCCGUGUGUGCGUGUGCGCCUGUGUGUACGUGCCCAUGUGUGUGCAUUGUGUAUGUGCCCAUGUGUGUGUACAUGUGCCUGUGUGCCCGUGUGUGUGUGUACGUGCCCAUGUGUGUGCAUUGUGCAUGUGCCCAUGUGUGUGUACAUGUGCCUGUGUGCCCGUGUGUGCAUGUACGUGCCGUGUGUAUGCAUCGUGCAUGUGCCCGUGUGUGUACAUGUGCCUGUGUGCCCGUGUACGUGCCCAUGUGUGUGCAUUGUGCAUGUGCCUGUGUGUGUGUACAUGUGCCUGUGUGCCCGUGUGUGCGUGUACGUGCCGUGUGUGUGCAUUGUGCAUGUGCCCGUGUGUGUGUACAUGUGCCCGUGUGUGUGCCCGUGUGUGCGUGUAUGUGCCCAUGUGUGUGCAUUGUGCAUGUGCCCGUGUGUGUACAUGUGCCCGUGUGUGUGCCCGUGUGUGCGUGUAUGUGCCCAUGUGUGUGCAUUGUGCAUGUGCCCGUGUGUGUGUACAUGUGCCCGUGUGUGUGCCCAUGUGCAUGUGUACACACGGACAGGAAUUAGCACCUGAGCUUGCCCUGGGGGGGUCUGGCUGGGGGAGGCUGACCCUCGCUGGGAUGUUUCUGGCUCAGUGGAGGCGGAGCCCGGGACAGGCCAUGGACGGAGCACACGGAGGCUCAGAGAGGUGGAGGGGCCCAGGGAGGGUCAGCCAGCAAAUGCCCGCACCAAGAUUUGAACCCAGGUCUUUAGAUCUCCCAAGACGGUGCCUCCCCUCCCCCCCAGGAUGGGGGUCGGGAGGGUCUCCUGACCUCGGGACUUCCUGGUGUUGCUCCCCCGGAGCCCCAGAGGGUGAGAGCUGGGGCUGCGUCAUGGGGCGGCCCCGCUUUCCUGCGUGA